GAUGAAGAACGUAGUGAAUUGCGAUAAGUAAUGUGAAUUGCAGAUUUUCAGUGAAUCAUCGAGUCUUUGAACGCACAUUGCGCCCCCUGGUAUUCCGGGGGGCAUGCCUGUCCGAGCGUCAUUGCUGCCCUCAAGCACGGCUUGUGUGUUGGGCCUCCGUCCUCCUCCCGGGGGACGGGCCCGAAAGGCAGCGGCGGCACCGCGUCCGGUCCUCGAGCGUAUGGGGCUUCGUCACCCGCUCUUGUAGGCCCGGCCGGCGCUUGCCGACACAUCAAUCUUUUUUCCAGGUUGACCUCGGAUCAGGUAGGGAUACCCGCUGAACUUAAGCAUAUCAAUAAGCGGAGGA
This 346-nucleotide unclassified non-coding RNA is filed under the name soil metagenome. Its description in RNAcentral is "partial contains 5.8S ribosomal RNA, internal transcribed spacer 2, and large subunit ribosomal RNA". The stretch from base 1 to 121 matches the Rfam family "5.8S ribosomal RNA", at positions 35 to 154 of the family's 154-position model. The record is from RNAcentral.